Molecule: non-coding RNA, 148 nt
Filed under: Gorilla gorilla gorilla (western lowland gorilla)
Lineage: Eukaryota; Metazoa; Chordata; Mammalia; Primates; Hominidae
Source: Rfam by way of RNAcentral
GCCGGGCAUGGUGGCACUCGCCUGUAAUCCCAGCUACUCAGGAGGCUGAGGCAGGAGAAUCGCUUGAGCCCAGGAGGCAGAGGUUGCAGUGAGCCAAGAUUGCGCCACUGCAUUCUAGCCUGGGCGACAGAGCAAGACUCUGUCUCAA